UAGACAACACAGGUAGAAGACUUAUGGGC
RNAcentral lists this small RNA (29 nucleotides) under Bombyx mori (domestic silkworm). RNAcentral's name for it is "ovarian small RNA-21893". Lineage: Eukaryota; Metazoa; Arthropoda; Insecta; Lepidoptera; Bombycidae. The record is from RNAcentral.